Molecule: non-coding RNA, 67 nt
Organism: Podarcis lilfordi (Lilford's wall lizard)
Lineage: Eukaryota; Metazoa; Chordata; Lepidosauria; Squamata; Lacertidae
Source: the annotation of a GenBank genome assembly
AAAGCUCAGUUGGUAGAGCAUGAGACUCUGAAUCUCAGGGUCAGGGAUUCAAGCACCAUGUGGGAUG